CCCACCUUUAAUUUCCUGCUUUUUUAAACACCCUUUCGAUAUCAAUUGAAGAAUGAAGUUUCGCUCUCACGGCUACGGCGCUUAUUCUUCCAAAAGCUCAUUGUAUUAGAAAGACGUAGCAAUACGACUAGAGCUGUUCUUGCUCUACAAUCUAGAUACAAAUGGGCUUUAAGUGGUACUCCCCUUCUGAACCUGUAUCGGGCUUUAAGUGGUACUCCCCUUCUGAACCUGUAUCGGGCUUUAAGUGGUACUCCCCUUCUGAACCGUGUGGGCGAGCUCUACUCACUUAUUCGCUUUUUCCAGAUAGUUCCUUUCUCGUAUUAUUUCUGCAAGGAUUGCGACUGUCGUACCCUUAUUUACAGGUUACAUUGAGAAGAGAUUCUCUCGAUGUUGUUGAAGAAGACUAUUAUACAGCACUCUACAACGAGAGUCAAGCACACUUUAAUACGUACGCCAUCUAAGUUCACCAUCUCUCGUUUUGAGAUUUGGAUGUAGUACUGGUUAAGAGUUUCGUUUGCUUGGAAGUAGUCAAGAGGCCUGUCAUCCGCUAAUUUCAUGCAGCUCGUCUAGCCUAUAAAAGAUACGUCGAUGCAGGAACACUGUUGAAUAACUAUGCCCACAUAUUUGAUCUACUCAGACGCCUUCGUCAGGUUAUUGUUGGACCAUCCUUAUACUAAGAUCUUGGUUUUGCAAUAUGGAUUCCUUUAUGGCUCCCUACUCCGUCCAUAUCUCAAACUGCUGAUCUUAAACUAAUCAAACAAAAACGCAAGCAGUUGAUCCCUACCUUGUGAAAUAUUCUCUUACUUCAAUGGAAAGAAAGGGAAAGCAGUUGAUACUGGAAUUGAUGUAAAAUGUGGCUUGUGUAAUGACACCGAAGAAGACACAGUGGUGAGUUGAAUACAAUUUGUUGUAACUGCUGGUAUCCCUAAGCUAUGGAGGCACUAAUUCAACAGUGCAUUGCUACAUUAUUUAUACCUCUGACUCUCUCAGGAUGUUUUAAUCUACAUUUUCAUCUGCACAGUAUCAACAUCUUACAUUUGUAUCUAUGUACCUAGGAUUUAUAAUUCUAAUUGGUGUUGCACUUUCUAAACUGUUGCAUAGUGAAGUGACAGUUCAGUAGUCACUGGAAUUGAACUGUUUGUCCAUCAAGCAGCACAUUAAUUCUAGCUGAAGUAGAUUUCAUCAAGUAAUGGAUUCUGAAAAAUGGAAAGCACUGAAGAUGCAUAUAUGUUGCUUGAGCUUGUAAUUUGAGCAAAAUUUUAAAUUGUUAUAUGGUACAGUUUCCCAUUUUCAAUCCAGGCAUUAUUUCAUAUGUUAGUUUUGACACUGAAUAUUCUUGACUCAUUGAAUGCUGAAUAGUGAAUGGUUGAAUCAGCUGUGUUUUGAUUUCGUAGCUCGAUACGUAAUGUUGCUAGUACUGUGAUAAAUAUUUCAUUGCAUGGGUUAAUGUGUCAAGAGGCUCUGUUUUUACUCAGUAAAAUUGGUUUCUGUUGUUUGUUUUGUAUAUACAGCAGUUUACAUUUUUAGAUUAAUCUGUUGCAACCGCUCAAUUGUGAGUAUACUUUACUGC
Salvia hispanica is the source of this 1570-nucleotide non-coding RNA. The record is from RefSeq and is a predicted model, not a curated record. Lineage: Eukaryota; Viridiplantae; Streptophyta; Magnoliopsida; Lamiales; Lamiaceae.